GUGCUAGCUUCAGCAGCACGUAUGCUAAACUACAGUACAGAGAAGAUUAGCAUGGCCCCUGUACAUGGAUGGCAAAUUGAAAUGAGGAUUGUUGAUAUUUAAC
Molecule: small nuclear RNA, 103 nt
Organism: Ochotona princeps (American pika)
Lineage: Eukaryota; Metazoa; Chordata; Mammalia; Lagomorpha; Ochotonidae
Source: Ensembl